CCUACGGGAGGCAGCAGUGGGGAAUUUUGGACAAUGGGCGCAAGCCUGAUCCAGCAAUGCCGCGUGCAGGAUGAAGGCCUUUGGGUUGUAAACUGCUUUUGUACGGAACGAAACGGUGAGCUCUAAUACAGUUUGCUAAUGACGGUACCGUAAGAAUAAGCACCGGCUAACUACGUGCCAGCAGCCGCGGUAAUACGUAGGGUGCGAGCGUUAAUCGGAAUUACUGGGCGUAAAGCGUGCGCAGGCGGUGAUGUAAGACAGAUGUGAAAUGCCCGGGCUCAACCUGGGACCUGCAUUGUGACUGCAUCGCUAGAGUACGGUAGAGGGGGAUGGAAUUCCGCGUGUAGCAGUGAAAUGCGUAGAUAUGCGGAGGAACACCGAUGGCGAAGGCAAUCCCCUGGACCUGUACUGACGCUCAUGCACGAAAGCGUGGGGAGCAAACAGGAUUAGAUACCCUGGUAGUCCACGCCCUAAACGAUGUCAACUGGUUNUUGGGUCUUCACUGACUCAGUACGAAGCUAACGCGUGAAGUUGACCGCCUGGGGAGUACGGCCGCGAAGGUUGAAACGUCAAAGAUA
Molecule: ribosomal RNA, 578 nt
Filed under: uncultured bacterium
Lineage: Bacteria
Description: bacterial SSU rRNA
Rfam family: Bacterial small subunit ribosomal RNA
Source: RNAcentral